This 45-nucleotide ribosomal RNA is filed under the name Urera glabra. Its description in RNAcentral is "partial 18S ribosomal RNA". Lineage: Eukaryota; Viridiplantae; Streptophyta; Magnoliopsida; Rosales; Urticaceae. The record is from RNAcentral.
AGUUGUAACAAGGUUUCCCGUAGGUGAACCUGCGGAAGGAUCAUU